GGGAGGGAAAAGAAAAGAAAAGAAAAAGAAAGAAACACUAGGGGAAAAUGUUUUAACUAGUCAUUCUUCCCAGUAGCUAAUGAAGCUGACUUUUAAAAAGAAGGCUGUGAGCUUUGCAGAUGCUGCUGCCGCCCAGAGCCCCCUGCUUCCAGCCAUGGUCAGCCCCACCAUGUUUUUCCACAUUGCUGUCGAUGGCGAGCCCUUGGGCUGUGUCUCCUUCAAGCUGUUUGCAGACAAGGUUCCAAAGACAGCAGAAAAUUUCUGUGCUCUGAGCACUGGAGACAAAGGAUUUGGUUAUAAGGGUUCCUGCUUUCCCAGAAUUAUUCCAGGGUUUACGUGUCAGAGUGGUGACUUCACACGCCAUACAGCAUUGGUGGCAAGUCCAUCUGCAGGGAGAAAUUUGAUGACAAGAACUUCAUCCUGAAGCAUACAGGUCCUGGCAUCUUGUGCAUGGCAAAUGCUGGACCCAGCAUGAACGUUUCCCAGUUUUUUAUCUGCACUGCCAAGAUGCCAAGACUGAGUGGUUGGAUGGCAAGCAUGUGGUCUUUGGCAAGGUGAAAGAUGGCAUGAAUAUUGUGGAGGUCAUGGAGCACUUGGGGUCCAGGAAUGGCAAGAUUAGCAAUCAGCAAGAAGAUCACCAUUGCUGACUGGACAACUGCAAUAAAUUUGACUGGUGUUUCUCUUAAAAAAAAAAUACUGUGACAGACCAAGGUAAAUUGUUCUUGAUAAUUACAGAAGUGUGAUUUCUUAAUCAGCAGCUGUCAAACAUAGUGUUCCUUAAUUUAAAAGCUUGAACACUAAAUUAUAAAUUGGAUAAUUACGGUUAUAUCUCUAGUACACAAGUCUUUAGUAGCAAAAAAGAAAUUAGCAAGAGAAGAAGACUGUUCAGUACUUUGAAAGGAAAAAGUUUUCAUUGAUAGAAGUUUUUUUAGAUGAAAAUUAACAUGAUAAAGAAGUGACAGGCCAGGUGUGGUGGUUGACACUUUUAACACCAACAAUUUGGGAGGCCAAGAUGGGAGGAUCUUUUGAGCCCAGGAAUUCAAGACUAGCCUAGGCAACAAGGCAAAACUCAUCUCUACUAAAAAUUUUAAAAAUUAGCCAGGUGUGGUGGCACCUGCCUGUAGUCCCAGCUGCCUGGGAAGCUGAGGUGGGAGGAUCGCUUGAGCCCAAGAGGUUGAGGCUGCAGUGAGCUGUGAUCACACCACUGUACUCCAGCCUGGGCAAGAGUGAGACCCUGUCAAAAAAAAAAAAAAAAGAAGGGACAAAUAUUACAAGAGUUUUUGCUAAAAGUUUUAAGUUGAUAAGAUGCAGAGAAUUGGGGGAAUGUAUAAUAAAUCAGAUUUCAUUUAGUUAUUUAUCUCAUGAAUCACUUUCCUCCUAACCGUUGUCGUAGGAGCCAUGUGUUCACAUGUCAUGUGGACCAGUAUUUAACUGUGGAAACCGCGGGUGUCAUGGAGGAGGCAGUGUCCAUGACUGUGCCGCUCUCCGCAGCCCCCUGCCUGCUGUUCUGCUUCCUGGGCUCCUCGGUGUCUGGACUGGCGUUCUGAGUUUCCCAGCAGAAAACUGAUGGGCCAGAGAGGUGUAAAACCACACACCACUUGGCAGGUAAUAAUUUCCCCACAUGCUAUCUUUUUAGGGAUCCUGAACACGCAGCCUUUCCCAAAAGACUGCUCUCUCCAGCUACUGAGAAAUGAUGACAAGAAAAGGCCGAAUUGCAGUGUCUCCAUCAGCAGUUUGCUCUCUAUGGGCACACGAUGACAAAAUAUCCUGAAGCGAACCACUAGUCUGACCUCAGUAGCAGGAUUGGAAGCUUCAUGCCAUGGGAGCUGUCAGGAAAGGCAUCCCAAAGAGAACUGAAAUUUAAAAAUAAUAAUAGACCUUCAGGAAUAGGUGAUUGUCCCCAUAUACUGGGGAUGAAAUACCCAGUGUAACCAAAUUCCCCAGUAAGAUCACUUAGUUUGGCAAUAGUCUUUUGUUUGGCAGUAGUCUUUUCUUUUGAGCACGUUGAAGUUUAUUUGCUCAAUGAAGGCUGAAAUUAUAAGUCAGUAUAUAUGUAUUACUAAGUAGAACUUGAGGUAAUUAUAUGUCUUAGUCAAAAGCAGUUUCUGUGGGCUUGGUAUAAACCCUCCUUUGUGAUUUGCUAAAGCACAGGAUGUUGACUCAAACCAAAACUAGUUUUGUAGUUAAUAUGUGUUGUGUUUCUGUGACUUAAUCAACUAGGAAAGCCACCUACAACAUUCCCAGCUACUUAAGUUUUAAAAGUUUUUAAAACACUUGUCACCAUAUUUUGAAAAAUACUAACAUUUGGAUUACUAGUUAUAAGUGUAAUUUCUACUGUGUCAUAAUCAGCCAUGCAGCUGGAGACUUGCCCUCUUUGUACAGCAAAGUUGUGAAAAAAAGGUAUUUGCACUACAUUUAUUUAAACAUUAGGGAAAAAAAGGCUAACCCAUGCUUUUCUUUGCUGAGAUGUAGGGCUGUAUUAUUGGCUAGUGAGAAGCCUGGGAACACUAGGACUUUGUGUGGGCUGAUUGCCAGUAUCAGAUCCGGGAUUAUACAGGUACUCUUGGAAGUGUCUUGGGGAUUUUCCUGGUAAGAACAGUAGUGAUUGCAUAAAAGAACAGACAGGAUGUAAAGUGAAAUCAGUAAAAUAUCUUAGUAGACAGAGGGUGCUGAAAUUUUAACAAAUGUGUAAAAAGUUCUUCCCAUGCAUUAAUUUUCCAGAUACCCUUAAAAUGUUUUAAGGAGUAUAAUUCAAAAUGCUGUUUAAAAGAGACAUGUGACCAUCAUUCUCCAAGAGAAUGUGAAUCAUUUAGUGUGCUACUUAAAAUUAGGUGUAAAUCUGUAUGUACACUAUAAGAAUAAAAAUCGAUACAAUUUCUUUAAAGCUAAAACAAACUUAAUUAUUUCUAAUAGUUACAUUUUAGGCUCUCAAACUAUUUUUCUUUUGAAAUAACUGCUUUCUGCCCUAAGAUGUUACUUAUUGCUGUCUUCUUUUUAACAGGUGAUUUGAAGAUAUUAAAGCUAGAAAUUGGAACUAGAAAAUCAAAAGAAUUCAAGGCAUCUUAACGUGACAGUUGAACUCAUUUGAUUAUACUUAAAAAAGUUUAUUGCAGUUAUUGACUUUUUUUUUUUUUGAGUGCAGUGGUGCCGUUGUUGCUCACUGCAGCCUCAGUCUUCCAGGCUCAAGAAAUCCUCCCACCUCAGCUUCCAGAGUAGCUGGGACUACAGGUGCAUGCCACACCCUGAUAAUUUUUUUUAACAUAAACAAGGCCUUGCUAUGUCGUCCAGUCUGGUCUUGAACUCAAGUGAUCCUCCCACCUUGGCCUCCCAAAGUGCUGGAUGACAGGCGUGAACCACCAAACCCAGCCACCAGUUUUACUUUAGGUAAACUUUUAUUUUCAAGCUUUUGUUGGUGUUACAAGUGUAAAUCUCUGUUUUAUAAAAUGUUCUAUAAAUAUAACCACUAUUCCUUGUAAGCUAUUUAAAAUAAAUUUUAAAGUCUUUCAAGUAAA
RNA transcript from Symphalangus syndactylus (siamang), 3512 nucleotides. It is a transcript of the gene named peptidyl-prolyl cis-trans isomerase A-like, with no coding region annotated. Lineage: Eukaryota; Metazoa; Chordata; Mammalia; Primates; Hylobatidae. The record is from RefSeq and is a predicted model, not a curated record.